AAUACAUGUAAUUUGAAUUGUAUAGGGAGAGAGGGUCUCUCUAUAUUUUGGCUGUUAUCUUCACAUUGGAUUACAUUCUGCUGCUAGUCUGCAUUGCAUUUGCAUGGUGACAUCUGAAUAGUUAAUACAAUAGUAAUUGUAUAUUUCUUUAACCUCAUUUUGUGUUUGUUUCAGAUCAGGUCAGCUUUGUCAUUGACACAACAGAGUGGCAGCUGACAGACCUUGUUGAAAGAUUUCAAGAGGAGGGGACUGAUGAGGAGAGUUUUCUUCUUUUAGAUGAGGCUACCAUCAACAGUUGAUCCCAAGAGCUGGCCCUGGGCUGAA
Pimephales promelas (fathead minnow) is the source of this 324-nucleotide non-coding RNA. Lineage: Eukaryota; Metazoa; Chordata; Actinopteri; Cypriniformes; Leuciscidae. The record is from RefSeq and is a predicted model, not a curated record.